GGAUGUUAUAUAUCUGUAUGUUGAAUCCGUACUUUCCGGAACCGUUGUAUUGUCUUAACCAUAAUUGUUGUGAUGAUUACAUGUAUCAGCCUCUUUUGGCGUUUGAAUCCAAAGUAAAAGGAUCAUAAUUUGAAAGUUCUUCUUUUUAUUUACAAUCUAUAUACUUCGUCUUUAGUCCCCCAAACCUAAGUCAGGAAUAUCACACA
This 206-nucleotide long non-coding RNA is filed under the name Mytilus galloprovincialis (Mediterranean mussel). The record is from RNAcentral. Lineage: Eukaryota; Metazoa; Mollusca; Bivalvia; Mytilida; Mytilidae.